UACGUAGGGCGCAAGCGUUGUCCGGAAUUAUUGGGCGUAAAGAGCUCGUAGGUGGCUGGUCGCGUCUGCCGUGAAAGCCCGUGGCUUAACUACGGGUCUGCGGUGGAUACGGGCCGGCUUGAGGUAGGUAGGGGCAAGCGGAAUUCCUGGUGUAGCGGUGGAAUGCGUAGAGAUCCGGAGGAAGACCGGUGGCGAAGGCGGCCUGCUGGGCAGUUACUGACACUGAGGCGCGACAGCGUGGGGAGCAAACAGG
This 253-nucleotide ribosomal RNA is filed under the name uncultured bacterium. RNAcentral's name for it is "partial 16S ribosomal RNA". It matches the Rfam family "Bacterial small subunit ribosomal RNA", at positions 524 to 776 of the family's 1533-position model. The record is from RNAcentral.